AUUCUAAUUCCCUUAAUCUUACCAAUUAUUAUCACCUUAGCCAACUCCUGCAAAAAAGAUUCAUACCCAUACUAUGUAAAAAUAUCUAUUGUGUGCGCCUUCAUCGUUAGCCUCAUCCCUGCGGCAAUAUUUAUAUAUACAGACCAACAAGUAAUUAUCUCAAACUGACGUUGAAUAACAAUCCAAACUCUUAAACUCUCACUAAGCUUCAAACUAGAUUACUUCUCCACAAUAUUUCUCCCAGUAGCACUAUUUGUUACUUGAUCUAUUGUAGAAUUCUCAAUAUGAUAAACUCAGACCCUAACAUUAAUCAAUUUUUCAAAUACCUACUCAUUUUCCUCAUCACAAUAUUAAUUCUAGUUACUGCCAAUAACCUCUUUCAACUUUUUAUCGGAUGAUAAGCUAUAGGAAUCUUGUCCUUCUUAUUAAUUGGCUGAUGAUACGGCCAAGGAGAUGCUAAUACAGCAACCCUCCAAGCGGUUCUGUAUAAUCAUAUCGGUGACAUUGGCUUCAUUUUAGCUCUAGCAUGAUUCCUCUUGUCCUCCCACACAUGGGAGCUUCAACAGGCAUUUAUUAUAGAUUCUGCCUCCAAUUCUCUUCCGUUAAUUAGUCUUCUCCUAGCAGCAGUAGGAAAGUCAGCUCAAUUCGGCCUUCAUCCCUGACUUCCUUCCACCAUGGAAGUCCCAACCCCACUGUCAGCCCUAAUCCACUCCAGCACUAUAGUAUAGCAGGAGUUUCCCUACUCAUCCGCUUCUACCCUUUAAUAGAAAAUAAACUAUUAGUGCAAACCUUCACAUUAUGCUUAGGGGCUAUGACCACCUUAUUUACAGCAAUCUGUGCUCCAACACAAAAUGGCAUCAAAAAAAUCGUAGCGUUCUCCACCUCAAGCCAACUAGGCCUUAUAAUAGUCACAAUUGGCAUUAAUCAACCAUACCUAGCAUUUCUUCACAUCUGCACCCAUGCCUUUUUUUUAAAGCUGUAUUAUUUAUAUGUUCAGGAUCCAUGAUCCAUAACCUCAAUGAUGAACAAGACAUCCAAAAAACAGGAGAUCUAUUCAAGACUUUACUCCUCACUUCCUCCUCCCUAAUUAUUGGUAGCCUCACACUUACAGGUAUGCUUUUCCUCACAGGCUUUUAUUCUAAAGAUCUUAUUAUCAAAACCGCAAACACAUCAUAUACCAACGGCUGAGCCCUCUGUAUUACUCUUAUUGCAAACUCCCUAGCAGCUGUCUAUAGUAUCCGAAUUAAUUUUCUUCGCUCUGAUAGGACAACCCCGCUUUACAAACCUGAUCAUUAGUAACGAAAAUAACCCCUUCCUAAUUAACUCAGUUAAAUGCCUGAUAAUUGGCAGUAUCUUCGCUGGGUUCCUUAUCACCAACAGUAUUAUUACUACUUCAUUCCCCCAGACAAUUUUACCGCAUCACCUAAGACUUACAGCACUAGAUGUAACU
This 1450-nucleotide long non-coding RNA is filed under the name Homo sapiens (human). Its description in RNAcentral is "non-protein coding lnc-TEKT5-4:1". Lineage: Eukaryota; Metazoa; Chordata; Mammalia; Primates; Hominidae. The record is from RNAcentral.